This 371-nucleotide unclassified non-coding RNA is filed under the name Hevea brasiliensis (rubber tree). Lineage: Eukaryota; Viridiplantae; Streptophyta; Magnoliopsida; Malpighiales; Euphorbiaceae. The record is from RNAcentral.
AGCAGUUCCUUACAACCGUGGUUUCCGAUAACAUAAACUCAGCACCGAAGACAUACGACAUCCAAUCCAUUCUCCGCAUUUGUUUGUCUUUAGAUAAUAAUUCCAAGCCUAUCUAUUUCCAUCAAAAUAGAACACAAGUCAAGUUACGAUAGUGUUUUCUCUCGUUUAUUCAUACCAUCCAAUAUAUCCAUCGACUCCAUCCAGAUUAACCCUCAAAGCUACACUAUCACUUCUAAAUCCUACAACAUUUAUACCGAAAUCAGAGCCAAACUAGGACCGAGCAUCGCAUCCAACAUACUUGGUUUCAUCCUUGUUCUCGCCGCUUUGCACCUCCUAGUUUGUAACGAUGUGUAUGAGUAUCUGGAGUCCUU